RNAcentral lists this ribosomal RNA (468 nucleotides) under uncultured Latescibacterota bacterium. Its description in RNAcentral is "bacterial SSU rRNA". It matches the Rfam family "Bacterial small subunit ribosomal RNA", at positions 920 to 1382 of the family's 1533-position model. The record is from RNAcentral. Lineage: Bacteria; Pseudomonadati; Candidatus Latescibacterota.
CCCGCACAAGCGGUGGAGCAUGUGGUUCAAUUCGAUGCAACGCGAAGAACCUUACCUGGGCUUGAACCGCACCUGUAAACCUGUGGAAACACGGGUCCCUCCUUCGGGAGCAGGUGUAGAGGUGCUGCAUGGCUGUCGUCAGCUCGUGUCGUGAGAUGUUGGGUUAAGUCCCGCAACGAGCGCAACCCUUAUCCCCUAGUUGCCAUCAGGUAAAGCUGGGGAACUCUGGGGAGACUGCCGGUGAUAAACCGGAGGAAGGCGGGGAUGACGUCAAGUCCUCAUGGCCCUUACAUCCCGGGCUACACACGUGCUACAAUGGCAGGUACAGAGGGCUGCGAAGCCGCGAGGUGGAGCGAAUCCCAGAAAACCUGUCUCAGUCCGGAUUGAAGUCUGCAACUCGACUUCAUGAAGGCGGAAUCGCUAGUAACCGCGAAUCAGCAGGUCGCGGUGAGUACGUUCCCGGGCCUU